RNAcentral lists this long non-coding RNA (1746 nucleotides) under Phoenix dactylifera (date palm). RNAcentral describes it as "long non-coding RNA (PDAC_LNC003112)". Lineage: Eukaryota; Viridiplantae; Streptophyta; Magnoliopsida; Arecales; Arecaceae. The record is from RNAcentral.
UGAGUGCCCUCAUCUCCCCCCAACUUACAAGUUUACUGUCUCUUGAUUAGUUUUUUGUUCCUCUUUUCUAUUUAUCAAUUAUCAUUUGGUAGAGUUACCAACAUUAGUCAUUAAGAAUGAUUUUUUGGAUCUUUGGUUAAUGUUCUUGUACAAAUCAUGGAGAAAAACUGUUAUUUUCCAGUUCACAUUAAAACAGGUCCUUAUGUGUAAUUAUGUGAAUCAGGAACUAACAGAACAUGGAUUUCUUUAUGGCGGGGAAUACCAAAGCAACCUUCCUGCUGAAUCAGACCAUGCCAUCAUAAAUUGCUUGGAUGGGACUACUCAUUUGGAUUACCAACAGUUCAGUUUGCAUCCAGAGCUGCACCAUAAUCUGUAUCUUAACGUGAAAGUACUUAAUUUACUUUUUUCUUUCAGGUUUAUCUAUUCGUUUUUUUGUUAUUUUUCAUUGUAGAUUUUUUUUUUCAUUUUUUCAAUAUAAUGUGUGUUGGUUCCCACCUUCUGCUGAAGCACUACGUCAUCCCUGGUUGGCUGUCAAUUGCAACUGCCUUUUAAGACACUAACAAACUCUAUUUCAAGGCUGUGUAAAGAAAGAGUUGUUGGAGUCCAUGUUCUAAGCUAUUACUAAUUCUCAGAUAAUAUGCAUUACAAAUAAGUUAGCUGGAAAAAGAUUUAUCACUAUUAUAUAAUCCUAAAAGAGUACAAUAACCAUGUCAUCCUGUCAAAUCCCCUUGAAAUUGUCUUAAAUUAAGGAAAGCCAUUGUCACUAAAAUUCUCAACUAGCAGCUCUUGAAACAUAAAAAUAAUUAUAUUAAUGGAUAAGAGGCAAAGGAUUAAAAUACAAGAAAAUUGUAUUCUAAGUUAAAGAUAGACAAAGGAUGUGAAAUUUUAUCACUUGUGAUCUGGUCAAAGCCCUGGAAAGAGGAGAAUUUUUGUGUUUCAUGUUAUUGGAUCUUCUGCAUCAGAGGUUCUUUUGGCUUUCUACAUUCUGGUUAUGUUCUUUUCUUCUGUUGAUGUUUUUCUUAGUGCAAUGCUCUCUCACAAUAUAUGACAAACUUCGCCCUCUUUCAUUUUGGGAACUUUGCUCUUUUAUAUACAACUCCCAUAACCUGUGCAAGUCAUUUCUUAGAAAAAAGGGAGAAACUUUUCAGGUUGUACUAUGCAAUUUCUGCAUCUUGUGUACCUAUAUGAAGGAAAAGUAACAUGUUAGUGUUGCUAGCUAUAGGUUUGCAGAGAUAUUAUUUAGCGUGGAGUUUGCUGAUAUUUUUAAGAUGCUCCGUUUUGCUUUACUUGUAUGUGUUUAUCAUGUUAAGUCCUACAAGAGAUAUUCAUGCUAUGUCCACCUGCUAAUCUUUUGCUUUAUAAGUCUGUGGCACAUAUUGGCAGGCAAUUUGUGACAUUCUCAUUUUCCAGCACUGUUCUGAUUAUCUAAUGUGGAACCUGCGAAAAUUUUCAGUCCUUUUUUUAAUCCUUCACUAUUAUGUGGCGGUUCAAGUUUCAACCUUCUAGUAGUUUGCUUUUUGGUUCACUCACAAAUUUUUAUCGUAAUUACAAGAGUAAGUUCUCAAAUUAGUUUUACUUGCAGGUUAAUUAUGUGAAUCAGGAACUAACAGAACAUGGAUUUCUUUAUGGCGGCGAAUACCAAAGCAACCUUCCUGCUGAAUCAGACCAUGCCAUCAUAAAUUGCUUGGAUGGGACUACUCAUUUGGAUUACCAACAGUUCAGUUUGCAUCCAGAGCUGCACCAUAA